UAGCCUAAUGGUUAAGGCUAUGGAUCGCCAAUCCAGAGACGGCGGGUUCGAUUCCCGU
Molecule: non-coding RNA, 58 nt
Organism: Aedes albopictus (Asian tiger mosquito)
Lineage: Eukaryota; Metazoa; Arthropoda; Insecta; Diptera; Culicidae
Source: Rfam